GACAGAGGGUGCAAACGUUGUUCGGAAUUACUGGGCGUAAAGCGCGUGUAGGCGGACUGGAAGGUCUGGUGUGAAAGCCCGGGGCUCAACCCCGGAGGGUCACUGGAAACCGACAGUCUUGAGUCCGGAAGAGGAGAGUGGAAUUCCUGGUGUAGCGGUGGAAUGCGCAGAUAUCAGGAGGAACACCUAUGGCGAAGGCAGCUCUCUGGUACGUGACUGACGCUGAGACGCGAAAGCGUGGGGAGCGAACAGG
Molecule: ribosomal RNA, 253 nt
Filed under: uncultured bacterium
Lineage: Bacteria
Description: partial 16S ribosomal RNA
Rfam family: Bacterial small subunit ribosomal RNA
Source: RNAcentral